RNAcentral lists this long non-coding RNA (386 nucleotides) under Equus caballus (horse). RNAcentral describes it as "lncRNA (ENSECAG00000048831.1)". The record is from RNAcentral. Lineage: Eukaryota; Metazoa; Chordata; Mammalia; Perissodactyla; Equidae.
UCUGCUUCCUGGAGGACCCAAACAAACAUAAUUGCUGUAGAGAUUGAAUGAAUUAAUCCAGGCAAAGCGUGUAGCAGGUGCUGAAGGAUGCUUGCUGGCUGUGAGGAUGCUGCGGAUGACAGUCAUUAGUCUAAGUGUCAGAGUUCCUGCUGGUCCAGAAAACAGCCCUGAAAAGACUGCCUGAUAGUCUUGGAGGGUGGACAAAAUCAGACAGACUCUGAUGGAGAGGGCACACGUGCUUGAAGGAGAGACGUGGAUCUAGACAGACACUGCAGAGGGAGUCUGAGAGCCGGCACAGGCGGUGCUGUAAACCGCCUGGACUUGGUACCAGAAAGUCCAGAUUCAUUGCAUUUCACCUCCCAUGAGGCAAAGGAAAUGAUUUUGCC